AACGAACGCUGGCGGCGUGCCUAACACAUGCAAGUCGAGCGAGAAAGCCCGCAAGGGUGAGUAAAGCGGCGCACGGGUGCGUAACACGUGGGUAAUCUGCCCUAGAGUCUGGAAUAACUCGCCGAAAGGCGUGCUAAUGCCGGAUGAGACCACGGGAGCCUCGGCUCCUGCGGGAAAAGGUGGCCUCUGUAUACAAGCUAUCGCUCUUGGAUGAGCCCGCGGCCCAUCAGCUUGUUGGCGGGGUAACGGCCCACCAAGGCUACGACGGGUAGCUGGUCUGAGAGGACGAUCAGCCACACUGGAACUGAGACACGGUCCAGACUCCUACGGGAGGCAGCAGUGGGGAAUCUUGCGCAAUGGGCGAAAGCCUGACGCAGCAACGCCGCGUGUGUGAUGAAGGUCUUCGGAUCGUAAAGCACUGUCGCGAGGGACGAAUAAGGGCCGGGUUAACAGCCCGGCACGAUGACGGUACCUCGAGAGGAAGCACCGGCUAACUCUGUGCCAGCCGCCGCAGUAA
This 517-nucleotide ribosomal RNA is filed under the name uncultured bacterium. RNAcentral describes it as "partial 16S ribosomal RNA". It matches the Rfam family "Bacterial small subunit ribosomal RNA", at positions 29 to 523 of the family's 1533-position model. The record is from RNAcentral.